UAGAGUUAUCAAAAACUCCCAAACCCAUGUGAACAUACCUCUCGUUGCCUCGGCGGGCGCCGUCCUACCACCACCGGUGGAGGGGCGAAACCCGCCGACGGCCCCCGAAACUCUGUUUUUCUAUAGCAUUGGACCUCUGAAGCAAAGAUAACUAAAUCAGUUA
Molecule: unclassified non-coding RNA, 163 nt
Filed under: uncultured Xylaria
Lineage: Eukaryota; Fungi; Ascomycota; Sordariomycetes; Xylariales; Xylariaceae
Description: sequence contains ITS1
Source: RNAcentral